UCCUCCCUCUUUCUUCGUGCUUAACACAUGCAAGUCGAACGGAAAGGCCCUGCUUUUGUGGGGUGCUCGAGUGGCGAACGGGUGAGUAACACGUGAGUAACCUGCCCUUGACUUUGGGAUAACUUCAGGAAACUGGGGCUAAUACCGGAUAGGAGCUCCUGCUGCAUGGUGGGGGGUGGAAAGUUUGGCCGGUUGGGGAUGGACUCGCGGCUUAUCAGCUUGUUGGUGGGGUAGUGGCUUACCAAGGCUUUGCCGGGUAGCCGGCCUGAGAGGGUGACCGGCCACAUUGGGACUGAGAUACGGCCCAGACUCCUACGGGAGGCAGCAGUGGGGAAUAUUGCACAAUGGGCGGAAGCCUGAUGCAGCAACGCCGCGUGCGGGAUGACGGCCUUCGGGUUGUAAACCGCUUUCGCCUGUGACGAAGCGUGAGUGACGGUAAUGGGUAAAGAAGCACCGGCUAACUACGUG
This 468-nucleotide ribosomal RNA is filed under the name uncultured bacterium. RNAcentral describes it as "partial 16S ribosomal RNA". It matches the Rfam family "Bacterial small subunit ribosomal RNA", at positions 36 to 507 of the family's 1533-position model. The record is from RNAcentral.